RNA transcript from Glycine soja, 2383 nucleotides. It is a transcript of the gene named pentatricopeptide repeat-containing protein At1g77405-like, with no coding region annotated. NCBI's taxonomy places the organism in Eukaryota, Viridiplantae, Streptophyta, Magnoliopsida, Fabales, Fabaceae. The transcript is spliced from 2 exons. The record is from RefSeq and is a predicted model, not a curated record.
CUUUCGGUGGAAGGUGUAUAUACUCAACAUUACUUCUUUUUCAGCGUGUUUUCUUACGGGAGUCCCACACCGCCCAAAACUAAUACAGUAUUCUUGUUUAUAAAGAAGUGCACCACUUCAAUUGUUGUCCCUUCGGGGACAUCCGAUAAAAUUGGAACGAUACAGAGAAGAUUAGCAUGGCCCCUGCGCAAGGAUGACACGCACAAAUCGAGAAAUGGUCCAAAUUUUUUUUGAAAUUUCUCUGGUUAGGUUUCUUUCCUUCUUAACACUUUGAUUUCCCUUCUUCUUCCUAUGGUUAUGGCCUGUGUUUUAGUUUACAUCUUUUGCACGAAGAACCAUUCCGCAAAUAUCAACCCCCACACUCCACCGUGCAAAUUCUGAAUGAUUGCAACAAACUCACUGCGUCAUUUCCCCAAACACCUUGCAAACCAAGCCCUGGUGUUGGUAAUCAAAGACCUCCCAUUCGAUGCCCCCCCCCCCCACCGUCACCCCUCCAUGGUCAAACGACGCCGUCACAGAGGUUCUCCGUUCCAUCUCCCACUACACACUCCAAUUCCCUCGCUCCAUCGGCCGCCAGCACACCUUCCGCCACCGCACCCCUCUCCGUCAGCGCAACCUCAACCUCGAACACCGCAAGCUCCGCAAUAACACCCUCCUCCUGGGCCCCACGGCCCACCUCGACCCCUACAAAGCCCACCACCUGGGCCCACUCAAAGCCCUCGAGUUCUUCCACUGGCUCGAAUCCCGCUUCAACUUCCCCCACUCCGAGCCCACGUGCCGCGAACUCGCCUGCCUCCUCGCCCGCGCCACCGCCCUCAAACCCCUCUGGCACUUCCUCAAACACUCCCCUCACGUGACCACCGCCACCGUCACGUGCCUCAUCAAACUCCUCAGUGAACAAGGCCUCGCCGACGAAGCACUUCUCACCUUCCACCGAAUGAAGCAGUUCCGCUGCAGACCCGACACUCACUCCUACAAUACCCUAAUCCACGCGCUCUGCCGCGUCGGGAACUUCGCAAAAGCCCGCUCCAUUCUCCAGCAGAUGGAGCUCCCCGGUUUCCGGUGCCCACCGGAUACCUUCACUUACUCCAUCCUCAUAAGCUCCUACUGCCGGCAUGGAAUCCUCACUGGCUGCUGGAAGGCCACAAGGAGGCGAAUAUACGAGGCCGGGCGAUUAUUCCGGUUGAUGCUCUUCAGAAAAUUGGUUCCUGAUGUCGUCACUUACAAUGCCCUAAUUGAUGGGUGCUGUAAGACUUUGCGCAUGGAGAGGGCGCUGGAGCUGUUCGAUGACAUGAAAAGGAGUGGCGUUGUUCCGAACCGUGUUACUUAUGGGUGCUUUGUUAGUUACUAUUGUGCUGUGAAUGAGAUUGAUAAGGGUGUUGAGAUGCUGAGGGAGAUGCAGAGGCUGGGGGACGGGGUUGCUAGUUCAAGUCUGUAUACACCCAUCAUUCAUGCGCUUUGCGAAGCUGGGAGGGUCGUUGAGGCUUGUGGGUUUCUUGUUGAGUUGGUUGAGGGAGGGUCCAUGCCGAGAGAGUACACUUAUGGGUUGGUUUGUGAUGCGCGGCCGGGGAGGGUGGUUUGUUCGAGGAUGGUGAUGGUUAUGGUGAUGGGAUGCACAAGAGAAUUAAGGAUGGGAUAUGGAAUAGGUAUAGGCAAAUAAUGAAGGUGAAACCCGUUAUGCGUCGCAAGGGCUAUCCCGAAAUGGAGGAACCAGUUUGAGUUUGAAUGCUUGAAUCUAGUGUUGAGUUGGAUUUGAAUUUCUGCUAGUGAAGUCAAUCAAGAGUGUGGUUUUCUUCAAAUGAUUAUUAUUGAGCUAGUGGGGGGAUCUUUGAUUCUUCAGAUGCAGGCAAGUCCAAUGUUCAGACAAGGAAUUUUCGUAAUUGGCAGAUCCACAGUUGCAAGGUCACUGCCCAGGAUCUGGUCUAACGAUGGCCAUUGAAUUUGCAUCCAUGUAUUUCGAGAAAAGCCACGUCACCAGCCUGAUGUUAACACAUUAGCUCUAGAUUACUUGUCAUCUGAGCAGCAUGCCCCCAAAGUAUCCAUGAGGAACCAAAUAGGUUGAGAAAUUGAACUUUUAAUUCUCCUGUAACUACAUGCCCCAGAGUAUCAAAGAUAAUGUGUUGUAAUCACAUCCUUCAAGAAUACAAGGGAGAAAGGAUAUCCCUUAAAGCUGAUGAGAAGUGGCUGGUAUCGAAAAGGUAUAGGAACAGUGAGGACACUUCAGAAGAUAAUGUGUUAAAGAUUUAAAUGUACUAAAUAGAAUUGGGUUGGCCAGCUUUUUCUAAAGUACAGUUUAAGCACUUAUAACUAAACCAAUGGGGGUAGGAUCAGCCCAAGGAUAAACAAGAGCUAAAGCAAAUUUCAAAAGAAUUCUUUCUCUGAA